Molecule: long non-coding RNA, 1604 nt
Filed under: Octopus sinensis (East Asian common octopus)
Lineage: Eukaryota; Metazoa; Mollusca; Cephalopoda; Octopoda; Octopodidae
Description: uncharacterized LOC118765673
Source: RNAcentral
GUCAUAACCCCGACAUUCUGAAUGCAAGACUCGAAUACUACUGGACUGAUCCUAAUGAAAUUUGGAACACCAAAUCUAAGCCUUGGGAGAAGCCCCGUGAAAAUUCAUAUGCUUCGGAUUUUGAUUUAAUUUGAACCACAGACCAAAUCAGCUCGCAUUGCGCGAGCACUGAUAGCGGGAAAGGGGAGUGGCAUACAGUGCCACCGAAAAAGAAAAGAAAAAAGAAACAAAAAGAAACACAUGACACACUGGGGAGGUGCGAACAAUUAGUGCUUCCCAACAUCAACAGCAACAACAUGCACCCACAACAACAACAAUUAACAACACCUUCUCUACCAGUACUGCUACACACACCAACACACACAGACACCACCAACACCGUUACAACAAUAAACACGAACAAUGAACAGUUAGUAACAUACCUGAAAAAUAACACAGACACAAAAAUGUCAGAUUUUAUUAUACCCACACACAACACACUACCAGCACACAUACUUACAUUUAAAAUCACACAAGACAAUUAUAAUAAAAUCAAGGAGAAAUUCCCAAACGAUGUUGGGUCGCUAGGGAGAAAUUUCUCCAAAAAUCUCUACAAAAACCUGGUGGAAAAACCCGUCCAAAAGCACAAGGGAGCCACCCCACCAAACAACAACAGUAAGUAGAGCCAUUUUCUCCUUAACCUUUUAAAACAUGGCAAAACUCAGAAUCGGUAGCAUAAAUGUAAGAGGCCUCGGGUCACCUUGGAAACAGGGUCACCUGUUAAACGACCUGAGGUCUCAUAGAGUUGAUGUAGCAGCCAUUAGUGAAACCAGGCUCUCUAACCCGUAAGAACUCGCGGCCCUUUUCAGCGGAUACGAGAUUUUUCUAUCUUCGUGUCGGCCGGGAGCGGCCGGUGGUGGUACGGCGGUUUUGUUUCGGAAGGGCCUGGAUUUGAAAAUAAGGACAGUCUUCCUGGAUCCGGAAGGUAAGUUGGUGGUCCUUGACGUAGACGGUAGUGACGGUGGUGCUUUCAGACUGCUGGCUGCCUACACUCCGAAAGGAGCAGGGCAGUCCGAUUAUUUCAAGCGUCUGGAAGUUUUCUUGGGGACGUCACGCACUCUAGUGCUAGUUGGGGAUUGGAACGCUGUCUUAGAUGAACGUUUCGAUCGGGUGGGCACGGGAGCAUCUAAUAGGAGAGGUGGGUGCAAGUGCCUCGCCAACCUGCUCAGGCGCUUUCAGUUGUCCGAUAGGUUUCGACUAGACAACCCGAAUGUGCCAAUGUGGACUUGGACUAAUUGCAUCGGGUCGUUUAGAUCGUACUUAGAUAGAGUCUUCUGUAGGCCAGCGGAUAAGGACAGCAUAGGGUGUCCACAAUUCCACCUAGUCGACUACACGGACCACAAAUUCAUGAUCUGUACGGUCGACUUAGAUAGGCUACAUAGACAGGGUCCCGGCUACUGGAAGCUGAACGCGUCGUUAACGGCGUGCAAAGCCUACAGAGACCGGAUUAGUUUAUUAGUUAAACGGGCGCUCACGGGGGCAAUCAUCAACAACAACUGGUGGUUUGCUCUCAAGAGAGCAAUUAGAGCAGAGUCGAUUAGGUUUAGUAAGGCUCUAGCUGUAGA